GUUUGCCAUGUUCAAGGACAUGCUAUGAAGCAGAAGCACAAACAUCAGAACGUUAAUAUUGCAAAAUAAUAAUGCAUAACUAAAAUAUUAACAAUAACUCAGAAAAACACACAAAAAUAAAACUCUUGAAGUCUUAAAAGUAACAAAAUAAGUUCAUCAGAUGCACAAUGAGGAUAUUUAAACGUUAAACAUGAAACAUGAGACCUAGCAGGAUUCAUAAAAAAUAUGAGGUGCCUAAAACAAUUGACCAAAACAAUCCAAAGACAAGAAGAAACUCAAUCAUUAAAUUACAUAAAUCCUUGGUUCCAGAAUACUAGAAUAAAAAAUAAACACAGAUCCAAUGAAAACUUAGAGAAAGUUCCAAGGGAAAGAAAAUAUAUUCCUUAGUGGUAAUCAUGUGAAUAAUGUUAGUUAUAGCAUUCCAGAGGCACAUGAUACUUUCAGUUAUGCCUCAUAGUAUCAAAUACAAGAAUAUACAUAAUUAUAUUUGCACAUCAGAUCCAACUAAUUAUUAAACAGGAUAAAGACAUAUGGCAGAAUCAUCAAGGAGGGCAACCUGACCACAUCAGCUGCCAAUAAUAAAAUUUAUAUGCCACACCCAAGUAGGGUUAAUGUCAAUGUGGUACAUUCAUUCUUCAACAUGGUUAUGCAGAAUAGAUAUCAAGAUGUAUAAUCUUAUGAAACUGACUUGAAAUGACAAGCUUUUGCAGAAAAAUGUGGUCUUAACAGAAACUACGAAUUACUUAUGUUAUAAACAGAUUGCUGUUGCUUAUUUUUUAAUUCUUGUAUUCUUAUAACAUAUGACUUCAUCUGCUCAAGGAUAUCAAUUUCUUGAUAUUCUUCAAAUGAAAAAUAUAUAUUGGUAUUGUUAAAUCUUAAAAGUAACAUCCGGCAGAACAUCAAAGCCUACAUGAAACCAACACAAACACCUUUAAAGUCUAGAGUGAAGCAUAAUAUAGCGCAGCCUAUAAGCAUGAUAUAGCGUGGAUAAACAAGGUUGAGGUCAGUAAAAUGAAUCAUUAAUAUGAUGUGUUCAUAGAGUCAGUUUGAGAAUGAGCAAAUUAUUGCUCAGCAUUUUUUCUUGCAUUUAUAGAUCUGGACAUCAAGUAGAAAUAAAAAAGUCCUCUUAAAGAUUAAAAUUGUUGUGGUAUUUGGUCAUUAGCAUGUAGUACCGCAUCAACCAGCCAACCCUAUACCACAAGUACAAAGGAUCUAAUUCCCCCAUCAAAUACAUGUGUAGGAG
Molecule: unclassified non-coding RNA, 1243 nt
Filed under: Hevea brasiliensis (rubber tree)
Lineage: Eukaryota; Viridiplantae; Streptophyta; Magnoliopsida; Malpighiales; Euphorbiaceae
Source: RNAcentral